This 497-nucleotide ribosomal RNA is filed under the name uncultured bacterium. RNAcentral describes it as "partial 16S ribosomal RNA". It matches the Rfam family "Bacterial small subunit ribosomal RNA", at positions 28 to 507 of the family's 1533-position model. The record is from RNAcentral.
GAUGAACGCUGGCGGCGUGCCUAAUACAUGCAAGUCGAGCGAACAGACGAGGGGCUUGCUUCUCUGACGUUAGCGGCGGACGGGUGAGUAACACGUGGAUAACCUACCUAUAAGACUGGGAUAACUUCGGGAAACCGGAGCUAAUACCGGAUAAUAUAUUGAACCGCAUGGUUCAAUAGUGAAAGACGGUUUUGCUGUCACUUAUAGAUGGAUCCGCGCCGCAUUAGCUAGUUGGUAAGGUAACGGCUUACCAAGGCAACGAUGCGUAGCCGACCUGAGAGGGUGAUCGGCCACACUGGAACUGAGACACGGUCCAGACUCCUACGGGAGGCAGCAGUAGGGAAUCUUCCGCAAUGGGCGAAAGCCUGACGGAGCAACGCCGCGUGAGUGAUGAAGGUCUUCGGAUCGUAAAACUCUGUUAUUAGGGAAGAACAAAUGUGUAAGUAACUAUGCACGUCUUGACGGUACCUAAUCAGAAAGCCACGGCUAACUACGUG